Molecule: unclassified non-coding RNA, 19 nt
Filed under: Mus musculus (house mouse)
Lineage: Eukaryota; Metazoa; Chordata; Mammalia; Rodentia; Muridae
Description: oocyte_clustered_small_RNA5968
Source: RNAcentral
UCUCUUCUUGAUCACUGCU